RNAcentral lists this ribosomal RNA (253 nucleotides) under uncultured bacterium. Its description in RNAcentral is "partial 16S ribosomal RNA". It matches the Rfam family "Bacterial small subunit ribosomal RNA", at positions 524 to 776 of the family's 1533-position model. The record is from RNAcentral.
UACGUAGGGCGCAAGCGUUGUCCGGAAUCACUGGGCGUAAAGGGCGCGUAGGUGGCCUGAUAAGUAGGAGGUGAAAUCCUGGGGCUUAACCUCAGGGCUGCCUUCUAGACUGUCCGGCUCGAGCACAGUAGAGGCAGGUGGAAUUCCCGGUGUAGCGGUGGAAUGCGUAGAGAUCGGGAAGAACAUCGGUGGCGAAGGCGGCCUGCUGGGCUGUUGCUGACACUGAGGCGCGACAGCGUGGGGAGCAAACAGG